Caretta caretta (loggerhead turtle) is the source of this 2372-nucleotide long non-coding RNA. RefSeq lists it as uncharacterized. Lineage: Eukaryota; Metazoa; Chordata; Testudines; Cheloniidae. The record is from RefSeq and is a predicted model, not a curated record.
UAUACAAAGGUUAAAAAAAAAAGCUGCUUAUCUGAGAUUUUGAAAAAAUGCUUAGUAAGCAAAAGCUGUUCUGCUACAUUUCCAUUGUCAAUGUAUCCCCAAGGGGAGAACGAGAGAGAAAUGGAACAGCUUGCUAUGAUCGGCAUUACAUUCCCUUAAGGCUGAACUGUCAGGUCCCUAUUUAUGAUAUGAAUUACUGCAUCCUACUCACCUGGGGACAGCAUGAUUUCUGCUCCCGCUCACUGGACCCCUCUGCAGCAGCUACAGAAUGGAGCACUAGCUAGAGAAGAACAGGAAGAGGAGUACCACUUCUUAAUCUGCCCCCUGCUGGCGGAGGCAGUAGCUAACUAUGAUGAUGGCCCCAAGAAAUAAAAUUAAAAUAAUUCCAGUUGUUCUGGCAAAAAGACCACCCAAGAUGGUUGAGCAAGAAGGUACCACUUCAAACAUGUCUUCUGGAGACUUGUCUAUGCCUUCUAUCAAUAAUAAGCACAUAGAUUUGAACAUUGUUAUUAUCCAAACGCAAAUCAUGACUUUGUGUUUGACUGCAUGCACCAAGGAUAUGUAUCUAAAUGGCCAGCAAACAGCAAAGCAUCUGUUAAGUGCCAUCAAAGUCAAAGUUAUUAGUACUCCUUCUCCAAUUGCUACUUGAACUCCAAAGAUUAUCCAGAAUACAAUUUUGGGACUUUUCACGGCAAGUGCUCGUAUUAUAUUGUAUGCAACACCAAAACAGGAGAAUAAAGAACAACAUAGAAGAUGAUGGCACAGGAGAAAGUAUUGAACUUUUUUCUUCAUUUCAGAGUUCUGCUGCACUGUCUUAAAUAUUAACAAACCAAUUGCAGUAAUGAAGAUGAAAUCAAACAAGUAAAGGGAUGCCUUUAUUAUCUCUAGUUCUUUUGUUUUUGUUGUAUCAUUCAGUGACUUAUUGGAUGAACGCAUCAUCUUCAAAUCUAGCACUUUGGUCCUGGUGAGGAAAAAACAAAACAAGAUGAAGUUUAUCACAAUGUUUUCCAUAUUAUUUUUUUCUACCAUGAGUGCAAUUAUCAAUCAGUAUCAGGGUUAGUAUUUGAUUGUAUACAUUUAUCAUCUGUUUAGACACAGACCUUUACAUUAGAUGUCUUAGUUUUAAUUACGAGAAAAAAUGCAUACCGGAACCUUUAAAGUAUAUGCUGUUCUUUUAGUGGCCUACUUAAAUAUCAAAUUUUUUUUAGUGGCCUACUUAAAAAGAGUUUGCCCUUGACAAGUGUCCACGUAACAACAAACACCACCACACCACAGCUGGUCUAGAUGGCCCUUUGCAGUUUAGAAGAGACAUCAAAGACUAAAUGGGCAAGGAGGCUGAACUACCCUCCCCCACCCUUCCUGAUCAUCCCUCCACAUUAGAGUGGGGGCAUGCUGAUGAUGCAGCAUGGGAAAGGUUGUAUUACCACUGCUCAUAUUCUGUGGAUAAAUACAAAAAUUCAGUCUCCAAAACUGAAUCUCAGACCUUUCACAAGCACUAAAUUCUCUAAGAAAACAGAUGUAGAUCAUAGAUCCAGUAACUUACUCCCCUAGCCAGACCCUUCAGUAUUAGGAUUUCCCCACAUAUGCAUAGGGCAGCCCCCAAUGUCCUCCUUACUAGCAAUCUCAGAGUGGGUAGUAUAUUUGUUCCUUUAUCAGUAUUCAUUGCAUAAGGGGCUUGUUAUAAACAGCAAUUAUAUAAAGUGAUAAAGAGCAGAAUAAUAAUAAUCAAUAAGUCUGAGUGGUUUUACUUAUAGCUUAGAACAUGGAGAUUUUUGAGACCUAACAAUGGAUUCAGGAAUUGGCAGGACAGUUUGUAAACAAUAUGGGGAAGUCAGUGAAGGGGCACCUAAGGGGCAUAAACCCCUCUGAAAGUUUAUUUUAAAAUAUUACCAAGGUAUGAACUUGGUAAUAGGAGCUGUCACCAUUCUGAAAAGCAUACAAAAUACUUUUCUCCAGAAAAAAAUUCAUUUUUCAUUUGUCCAAGUCAGUUUAAUUUUGCCAAUUGUCACUGACAGAAACAUUAAAAUAUUCACUUAUUGACUAAAAAACCCUUAAACAGGAAAAAUCAAAAAUGUUACCUGUGAGCAAAAAUCUUUCGAAUUUGGUCUAUUAUACACAUUUCUCCAUGUUAAGUAUCCUCACACCUUCACCUGUCUAAAUGGGCCAUCUUGAUUAUCACUACAAAAAAGUUUUUUUUUUCUCCUCGUGGUAAUAGCUCAUUAAUUAAUUAGCCUCUUACUCCACCUUUUCAUGUUCUCUAUACGUGUGUAUAUGUAUAUCUUCUUACUACAUGUUCCAUUCUAUGCAUCCGAAGAAGUGGGCUGUAGCCCAUGAAAGCUUAUGCUCAAAUAAAUUUGUUAGUCUCGAAGGUG